Quercus robur (English oak) is the source of this 209-nucleotide long non-coding RNA. RefSeq lists it as uncharacterized. NCBI's taxonomy places the organism in Eukaryota, Viridiplantae, Streptophyta, Magnoliopsida, Fagales, Fagaceae. The record is from RefSeq and is a predicted model, not a curated record. The transcript is spliced from 3 exons.
UCAAAACCCAAAGAAGAAACAGUAUCGGUCGGCGACGAUAUUUGAAAUAGUGAGUCUUGGAAUUUAGCACACGGGUCCAGAAGUUCCAUUGUACGAUGAAUUUAUAUAUGUAGACAUUGUUUUGGAAAAAAAUUGGCAUUGAAGGUGAAGGAGUAUGGGGAUAGUGGAAAAGAUUGAAGAGCAGGGUGCUGUCCAAGUUCCCCCCCCCC